AUUGAACGCUGGCGGCCUGCCUAACACAUGCAAGUCGAGCGAAGCGGCUGACGGGUGAGUAAUGCCUAGGAAUCUGCCUGGUAGUGGGGGCUAACUUCCGGAAACGGGAGCUACUACCGCAUACUCUCAGAUCAGCCAAGGUCUGAUUAGCUAGUUGGUGGGGUAAAGGCCUACAAAGGCGACGAUCCGUAACUGGUCUGAGAGGAGGAUCAGACACACUGGAAUGGAGACACGGUCCAGACUCCUACGGGAGGCAGCAGUGGGGAAUAUUGGACAAUGGGCGAAAGCCUGAUCCAGCCAUGCAGAGUGUGUGAAGAAGGUCUUCGGAUUGUAAAGCACGUUAAGUUGGGAGGCGUUACCAACAGAAUAAGCACCGGCUAACUUCGUGCCAGCAGCCGCGGUAAUAC
RNAcentral lists this ribosomal RNA (407 nucleotides) under uncultured bacterium. RNAcentral's name for it is "partial 16S ribosomal RNA". It matches the Rfam family "Bacterial small subunit ribosomal RNA", at positions 30 to 526 of the family's 1533-position model. The record is from RNAcentral.